GAUGAACGCUAGCGGCAGGCCUAACACAUGCAAGUCGAGGGAGAAGCCCUUUCGGGGGCAGAAACCGGCGCACGGGUGCGUAACGCGUAUGCAACCUACCUUUCACAGGGGGAUAGCCCGAAGAAAUUUGGAUUAAUACCCCAUAAUAUUAUUGGAUGGCAUCAUUUGAUAAUUAAAACUGCGGUGGUGAAAGAUGGGCAUGCGUCCCAUUAGCUAGUUGGAGUGGUAACGGCACCCCAAGGCUACGAUAGGUAGGGGUCCUGAGAGGGAGAUCCCCCACACUGGUACUGAGACAGGGACCAGACUCCUACGGGAGGCAGCAGUGAGGAAUAUUGGUCAAUGGUCGGAAGACUGAACCAGCCAUGCCGCGUGCAGGAAGAAUGCCUUAUGGGUUGUAAACUGCUUUUAUAUGGGAAGAAUAAGGCGUACGUGUACGUUGAUGACGGUACCAUAUGAAUAAGCAUCGGCUAACUCCGUG
This 478-nucleotide ribosomal RNA is filed under the name uncultured bacterium. RNAcentral's name for it is "partial 16S ribosomal RNA". It matches the Rfam family "Bacterial small subunit ribosomal RNA", at positions 28 to 507 of the family's 1533-position model. The record is from RNAcentral.